CAAUAGCGUAUAGUAAAGUUGUUGCAGUUAAAAAGCUCGUAGUUGGAUUUCUGGUGGGAGCGAUCGGUCUGGCGCUUAGCGCGAGUACUUGCAUCGUCUCCGGCCAUCCUUGGGGAGAGUCUGUCUGGCAUUAGGUUGUCGGGCAGAGGAUCCUCAUCGUUUACUGUGAAAAAAUUAGAGUGUUCAAAGCAGGCUUAUGCCGUUGAAUAUAUUAGCAUGGAAUAAUAAGAUAGGACUUUGGUACUAUUUUGUUGGUUUGCGCACCAAAGUAAUGAUUAAUAGGGACAGUUGGGGGUAUUCGUAUUCCGUUGUCAGAGGUGAAAUUCUUGGAUUUACGGAAGACGAACUACUGCGAAAGCAUUUACCAAGGAUGUUUUCAUUAA
Molecule: ribosomal RNA, 383 nt
Filed under: uncultured eukaryote
Lineage: Eukaryota
Description: partial 18S ribosomal RNA
Rfam family: Eukaryotic small subunit ribosomal RNA
Source: RNAcentral